This 643-nucleotide ribosomal RNA is filed under the name uncultured bacterium. Its description in RNAcentral is "bacterial SSU rRNA". It matches the Rfam family "Bacterial small subunit ribosomal RNA", at positions 334 to 970 of the family's 1533-position model. The record is from RNAcentral.
UACUCCUACGGGAGGCAGCAGUGGGGAAUAUUGGACAAUGGGGGGAACCCUGAUCCAGCCAUGCCGCGUGUGUGAAGAAGGCCUUAUGGUUGUAAAGCACUUUAAGCGAGGAGGAGGCUACUGAGACUAAUACUCUUGGAUAGUGGACGUUACUCGCAGAAUAAGCACCGGCUAACUCUGUGCCAGCAGCCGCGGUAAUACAGAGGGUGCGAGCGUUAAUCGGAUUUACUGGGCGUAAAGCGUGCGUAGGCGGCUUUUUAAGUCGGAUGUGAAAUCCCCGAGCUUAACUUGGGAAUUGCAUUCGAUACUGGGAAGCUAGAGUAUGGGAGAGGAUGGUAGAAUUCCAGGUGUAGCGGUGAAAUGCGUAGAGAUCUGGAGGAAUACCGAUGGCGAAGGCAGCCAUCUGGCCUAAUACUGACGCUGAGGUACGAAAGCAUGGGGAGCAAACAGGAUUAGAUACCCUGGUAGUCCAUGCCGUAAACGAUGUCUACUAGCCGUUGGGGCCUUUGAGGCUUUAGUGGCGCAGCUAACGCGAUAAGUAGACCGCCUGGGGAGUACGGUCGCAAGACUAAAACUCAAACGAAUUGACGGGGGCCCCCACAAGCGGUGGAGCAUGUGGAAUCACUAGUGAAUUCGCGGCCGC